Molecule: long non-coding RNA, 5930 nt
Filed under: Hordeum vulgare
Lineage: Eukaryota; Viridiplantae; Streptophyta; Magnoliopsida; Poales; Poaceae
Description: long non-coding RNA (HVUL_LNC009307)
Source: RNAcentral
ACGGAUCUCCGGGAAUUUAAGAAACGGUGAAACGCAGAAUCUGGGAGCGCAGAAACAGAAGGACACAGAGAGAGAGAUCCAAUCUCGGAGGGGCUCUCGCCCCUCCGCCUCCAUGGAGACCAUGGACCAGAGGGGAAACCCUUCUCCCAUCUAGGGAGGAGGUCAAGUAAUAAGAAGAAGGAGGGGGGCUCUCUCCCCCUCUCUCCCGACGGCGCCGGAAUGCCGCCCAGGACAUCAUCGUGUGACUGCGAUGUACACCAACACCUCCGUCAUCUUCACCAACAUCUCCAUCAUCUUCCCCCAUCUAUAUUCAGCGGUUCACUCUCCCGCAACCCGCUGUACCCUCUACUUGAAUAUGGUGCUUUAUGCUACAUAUUAUUAUCCAAUGAUGUGUUGCUAUCCUAUGAUGUUUGAGUAGAUUAUCAUUGUCCUAUCGGUGAUUGAUGAAUUGCUAUGAUUGAUUUAAUUUGCUUGUGGUUAUGUUGCUGUCCUUUGGUCCCCAUCAUAUGAUCGCGCGCGUGGAUAACACCAUAGGGUUAGUUGUAUGUUGAUAGGACUAUGUAUUGGCAGGCUAGAGUGACAGAAGCUUCAAACCUAGCAUAGAAAUUGAUGCAUAUGGGAUUGAAGGGGGACCAAUAUAUCUUAUUACUAUCGUUGGGUUUUACCUUAAUGAACGUUAGUAGUUGCGGACGCUUGCUAAUAGUUCCAAUCAUAAGUGCAUAGAAUUCCAAGUAAGGGAUGACAUGCUAGCAGAGGCCUCUCCCACAUGAUACUUGCUAUCGAUCUAGUAACGUAGUCAAUUGCUUAGGGACAAUUCCGCAGUUCCUACCACCACUUUUCCACACUCGUUAGACACUCGUCUUUGAUUCUUUUUCUAACCAGCCCCUAGUUUUAUUUACGUGUUCUUUACUUUCUUGCAAGCCUAUCCUUUCACUCCUACAAGGUACUUCUAGUUUCAUACUUGUUCUAGUUAAAGCGAACGUAAAGUGUGCGUAGAGUUGUAUCAGUGGUCGAUAGAACUUCGGGGAAUAUUUGUCCUACCUUUAGCUCCUUGUUGGGUUCGACACUCUUACUUAUCGAGAAAGGCUACAAUUGAUCCCCUAUACUUGUGGGUUAUCAACACCUUUUUCUGGCGCCGUUGCCGGGGAGAGAUAGCGUGAGGUGAAUAUCCUCGUGUGUGCUUGUUUGCUUUAUCACUAAGUAGAUAUAUUUUCUGUUCUAAGUUUUUCUCUAUCUUUAGUUAUGGAUAUGGAACACGAAAUACCAAAAAAAUUAGGUGUACUUGCUACUCAUGGAGAUGGGAAACCUCCUAAAACCCUCGAGGCUCGCUAUGUGGAAAAUAUUAUGCACUUCUUUAAUAAUCCUGAGAAAGCCCCAUUCAAUUAUAUAAUGGGAUACACGUUGGAUCAACAUGAAUACUUUAGGGAUUAUCACUUGACUCAAAAAGGGAAACUUUUAUGGGAUCAAAUCCAUUUGUUGAAAUGGUAUGCUUGGGAACUAUGCAAGAGAUAUGGUGUUACUUGUUGCUCUAGGAUGAAGGCUCCACACCUUCCCUUUUCUUGUGAAUUUAAUGGUCAUAGAACCUUGGCUUCUUAUGCUAAUGGUAUAUAUGAUUACUAUGAUGUGGAUCAAAUAGAAGAGUUUGUUGCUUUUAUGGCUGCUUAUGAAAUUGAGGCUCUGUUUAAAAGGUGUGAUGAUAAUCAUGAUGCUCCUUACCGAUCUGAAAAUUUGGCUAUGCUUCGUUAUUGUUAUACUAAUUAUGAAUAUAAUGCCCAUAUUGAACGAUUUAAGGAGAAAUCCUAUGCUGCCCAAGAAGAGACUAUUAUUUUGCAGGAAACUAUGGAAGAAGAAAAUGCUGAAAUUGUGAGCUCAUUAGAUGAAAAAGAUGAAGAGGAGAGCGAAAAACAAAAGGAGGAAGAGCGGACUAGCUACCUGUGUCCACCUUCUAAUGAGAGUAACUCUUCUACUCAUACAUUAUUUAAUUUCCCUUCGUUCUUACCGAAGGAUGAAUGCUAUGAUCCCUUGGAUUCGUUUGAAAUAUCCCUUUUUGAUGAACUUGAUGCAUGCUAUGCUUGUGGCCAUGUUGCCAAUAUGAAUGAUGCUUAUGAAGAUGAGCUAGCUAUAGUCCCUUAUGUUAAACAUGAUGAUUUUGAUGAAUAUAAUAUGCAUGUGCUUGCUGCUCCUACUUGCAGUUAUUAUGAGAGCAGAACUACAUCUCCACCUCUCUAUGUUUCCAAUACGAUAAAAUUGCAAGAAACUGCUUAUGCUAUGUAUUGGCCUUUCCUUGGUGUGCAUGAAUUGUUCUUUUAUGACAUGCCAAUGCAUAGGAAGAGAGUUAGACUUCGUCAUUGCUUCAUAUAUGUUACCUUGUGCUCACUACUAAAUUUCAAAUCAUUGCUAAUUAAAAUUGGCUUUGAUAUACCUUGGGAUCCGGGUGGAUCCAUUACUUGAGCACUUUAUGCCUAGCUUAAUGGCUUUAAAGAAAGAGUUGCCUGGGAGACAAUCCGGAAGUUUUAGAGAGUCAUUUAUUUCUGUUGAGUGAUUUUAUUUAGUUUAAAAACAAAAAAAAUAUAGAGGGGAACUUAAAACUUUUUCAAAAAGAGAAGUGAUUGAAAGGAGAUGCAUUGUGGAAGUGAGGGUCGACCUUGAACACUUGUGUUCAUGCUAAUGGAAACAAUGUAGAAUUUUUCAUGGAAGUUUCUCACAAAAAUAAUUAUACCCUUGUACAAUUCCUUUGUGUUUUUAAAAAAUAAUGUGCCAAGUAAAGCCUUUACAAUUAGUUUGGGUGAUAGUUGUUUGAUCACGCAGAGAAAAGACAGAAACUUUCUGCUCACAAAAUUAAUUUUCAUUUUUAUUAUGGAAGAGCUUUUGAGUUGAUUAUUUUUUAUGCUGAUUCAUAUGCAAAUUUUCCAGAUGUUCGUAGGUUUUCAGAUUGUUUGAGAUACCAGAAUUAUACGGAAUAUACAGAUUGCUACACACUCUUCUGUUUUGACAGAUUCUGUUUUCUAUGCAUUGAUCUCUUAUUUUGAUGAAUCUAUGGGUAGUAUCGGGGGGUAUGAACCAUGGUGAAGUUGGAUUACAGUAGAUAUAAUGCUAAUACGAAUUUAGAAUGAGUUCACAACAGUACUUGAAGUGGUGAUUUAUUUUAUUAUACUAACGGAUCUCACGAAGUUUUGUUGAGUUUUGUGUGAUUGAAGUUUUCAAGUUUUGGGUGAGAACACGAUGGAUGAAGGAAUAAGGAGAGGCAACAGCCUAACCUUGGGGAUGCUCGAGGCACCCCAAGGUAAUAUUCAAGGAAGACUCAAGUGUCUAAGCUUGGGGAUGCCCCGGAAGGCAUCCCCUCUUUCAUCUACAAUCUAUCGGUAAUUUUACUCGGAGCUAUAUUUUAAUUCGUCACAUGAUAUGUGAAAAUGCUUGGACCGUCUUUUGUGUUUAUUUUUACUUUUUAUUUUAUGCACCAUGCUGGUAUGAGAUAGUCCUUGGUUGGCUUUAUAGAAUGCUUCUUAUGCUUCACUUAUAUCUUUUGAAGUUUGGAUUGCCUGUUUCCCUACACAUAAAAAACCGCCAUUUGUAGAAUGCUCUUUUGCUUCACUUAUAUUAGUUAGAGCGGGGCAUACCUUUUGUAGAAAGAAUUAAACUCUCAUGCUUCAUUUAUACCUAUUUAGAGAGUUAACAGGAGUUGGUCAUUCACAUGGUUAGUCAUAAAACCCUACAUAAAACUUGUAGAUCACUGAAUAUGAUAUGUUUGAUUCCUUGCAAUAGUUUUGCGACAUGAAUAUGUGAUAUUAGAGUCAUGCUAGUGAGUAAUUGUGUAUUUUUAUAAAUACUUGUGUUAAGGUUCGUGAUUCCCGUAGCAUGCACGUAUGGUGAACCGUUAUGUGAUGAAGUCGGAGCAUGAUUUAUUUAUUGAUUGUCAUCCUCUGUGUGGAGGUCGGGAUCGCGCGAUGGUUAACUCCUACCAACCUUUCCCCUAGGAGCAUGCGUGUAGUACCUUGUUUCGAUGACUAAUAGACUUUUGCAAUAAGUAUGUGAGUUCUUUAUGACUAAUGUUGAGUCCAUGGAUUAUACGCACUCUCACCCUUCCAGCAUUGCUAGCCUCUCUAGUACCGCGCAACUUUCGCCGGUGCAUUACACCCUCCAUAUAGCCUCCCUCAAAAUAGCCACCAUACCUACCUAUUAUGGCAUUUUCUUAGCCAUUCCGAGAUAUAUUGCCAUGCAAAUACCACCGUUCCGUCUCAUGACAUGUGCCACCACUUCCAUAUUGCCAUUGCAUGAUCGUAAGAUAGCUAGCAUCAUGUUUCCAUGGCUUGUCCAUUUUUUGAUGUCAUUGCUAUGCUAGAUCAUUGUCACGGUACACUACCGAAGGCAUUUCAUAUAGAGUCAUCAUUUCUCUAAGUAUUGAGUUGUAAGUGUGAUGAUCAUUAUUAAUAGAGCAUUGUCCCAUGUGAGGAAAUAAAAGAGGCCAGUGAAGCCCAUUUACAAAAAAGAGGCCAAAGAUGCCCACCAAAAUAAAAAAAAUAAAAAAUAAAAGAGGCCAAAGAGCCCACAAAAAAUGAGAGAAAAGAGAGAAGGGACAAUAGCUACUAUCCUCUUUCCACACUUGUGCUUCAAAUAGCACUAUGAUCUUCAUUAUAUAACUUGGCUUGUAUAUUCCAAUGAUGGGCUUCCUCAAAAUUGCCCUAGGUCUUUGUGAGCAAGCAAGUUGGGUGCACACCCACUAGUUUAUUUUGUGAGCUUUCAUACACUUAUAAGCUCUAGUGCAUCCGUUGCGUGGCAAUCCCUACUCACUCACAUUGAUAUCUAUUGAUGGGCAUCUCCAUAGCGUGUUGAUACGCCUAGUUGAUGUGAGACUAUCUCCUCCUUUUUUGUCUUCUCCAUGACCACCAUAUUCUAUUCCACCUAUAGUGCUAUGUCCAUGGCUCACGCUCAUGUAUUGCGUGAAAGUUGAAAAGGUUUUAGAAAACUAAAGUAUGAAACAAUUGCUUGGCUAAAACCACGGUUGUGCAUGAUUUAAAUACGUUGUGUGGGGAAGAUGGAGCAUAGUCAGACUAUAUGAUUUUGUAGGGAUAACUUUCUUUGGCCAUGAUAUUUUGAAAAGACCUGAUUGCUUUGUUAGUAUGCUUGAAAUAUUAUUGCCUUUAUGGAAAAUGAUAUACUAUUUCUUCGAAUCACUCGUGUUUUAGUAUUCAUGCCAUGAUUAGAUUAUAUGAUCAAGAUUAUGCUAGGUAGCAUUCCACAUCAAAAAUUAUCUUUUUUAUCAUUUACCUACUCGAGGACGAGCAGGAAUUAAGCUUGGGGAUGCUGAUACAUAUCCGUCGUAUCUAUAAUUUUUGAUUGUUUCAUGCCAAUAUUCUUCAACUUUCAUAUACUUUUGGCAACUUUUUAUACUAUUUUUGGGACUAACAUAUUAAUCCAGGGCCCAAUGUCAGUUCCUGUUUGUUGCAUGUUUUUGUUUCGCAGAAUAUCCAUACCAAACAAGUCCAAACGUAAUAAAAACUUACGGGGAUUUUUUUGGAAUAUUUAUGAUUUUUGGGAAGAAGAAUCAAUGCGAGGAGAUGCACGGAGUGCCCACAAGCCCUGUCGCCGCGGCCAGGGGGUGGGCCCACGGCAGGCAGGCUUGUGGCCACUCCUUAAUGCGGUUGGAGUCCUUCUUUCGCUGCAGAAACGAUAAUAUCUGGAAGAAAAUCGUGUCAAAAUUUCAGCCCAAUUGGAGUUACGGAUCUCCGGGAAUUUAAGAAACGGUGAAACGCAGAAUCUGGGAGCGUAGAAACAGAAGGACACAAAGAGAGAGAUCCAAUCUUGGAGGGGCUCUUGCCCCUCCGCCGCCAUUGAGACCAUGGACCGGAGGGGAAACCCUUCUCCCAUCUAGGGAGGAGGUCAAGGAAGAAGAAGAAGGAAGGGGGCUCUCUCCCCCUCUCUCCCGGCGGCGC